AGCACCCAGUUUCCUUACUCAUCAAAUAGAAACACUGAUCUGAGUGAUUAUCAAAGGUGAAAAGUAAAAUGGAAACUGACUUCAAUUUUUUUGUGUUGUUGUUACACGUGACUAGUUUCAAAUACAC
RNAcentral lists this small nucleolar RNA (127 nucleotides) under Echinops telfairi (small Madagascar hedgehog). RNAcentral describes it as "Small nucleolar RNA SNORA61 (ENSETEG00000025169.1)". The record is from RNAcentral. Lineage: Eukaryota; Metazoa; Chordata; Mammalia; Afrosoricida; Tenrecidae.